AGUGAACGCUGGCGGUAGGCCUAACACAUGCAAGUCGAACGGCAGCACAGUAAGAGCUUGCUCUUACGGGUGGCGAGUGGCGGACGGGUGAGGAAUACAUCGGAAUCUACUUUUUCGUGGGGGAUAACGUAGGGAAACUUACGCUAAUACCGCAUACGACCUACGGGUGAAAGCAGGGGAUCUUCGGACCUUGCGCGAUUGAAUGAGCCGAUGUCGGAUUAGCUAGUUGGCGGGGUAAAGGCCCACCAAGGCGACGAUCCGUAGCUGGUCUGAGAGGAUGAUCAGCCACACUGGAACUGAGACACGGUCCAGACUCCUACGGGAGGCAGCAGUGGGGAAUAUUGGACAAUGGGCGCAAGCCUGAUCCAGCCAUACCGCGUGGGUGAAAAAGGCCUUCGGGUUGUAAAGCCCUUUUGUUGGGAAAGAAAAGCAGCAGGUUAAUACCCCGCUGUUCUGACGGUACCCAAAGAAUAAGCACCGGCUAACUUCGU
RNAcentral lists this ribosomal RNA (491 nucleotides) under uncultured bacterium. Its description in RNAcentral is "partial 16S ribosomal RNA". It matches the Rfam family "Bacterial small subunit ribosomal RNA", at positions 29 to 506 of the family's 1533-position model. The record is from RNAcentral.